UACGGGGGGGGCAAGCGUUGUUCGGAAUUACUGGGCGUAAAGCGCACGCAGGCGGUCUUUUAAGUUUGACGUGAAAGCUCCCGGCUUAACUGGGAGAGGUCGUUGAAGACUGGAAGACUUGAGGCAAUGAGAGGGGUGUAGAAUUCCCGGUGUAGUGGUGGAAUGCGUAGAUAUCGGGGGGAAUACCAGUGGCGAAAGCGGCACCCUAGCGUUAGCCUGACGCUCAUGUGCGAAAGCGUGGGGAGCGAACGGG
This 253-nucleotide ribosomal RNA is filed under the name uncultured bacterium. RNAcentral's name for it is "partial 16S ribosomal RNA". It matches the Rfam family "Bacterial small subunit ribosomal RNA", at positions 524 to 776 of the family's 1533-position model. The record is from RNAcentral.